Molecule: long non-coding RNA, 558 nt
Organism: Triticum aestivum (bread wheat)
Lineage: Eukaryota; Viridiplantae; Streptophyta; Magnoliopsida; Poales; Poaceae
Exons: 3
Source: RefSeq, a predicted model, not a curated record
AUCGAAGUGUUUUUUUUGUUUCAUCCUAUUUUCCCUAUUUGUUUGUCAUUAUUUAUUUUCCGUUGAAUCAUUCUCUCCUUCAAUGGAAAAAUCGAGGGCAUCAUAUUUGCAAGCCUUUUAACCUUACCUAGCUGCUCAUGCUGAAGUUCACAACUGUACUAGACAACAUAUGAGAUGUACUUACUAGUAGAUAAAACAAAUUAGGACCGAACAUUGAAGGAUUCCAGAAAUAAUGGACUGAAAUUAUUAAAUAUACAGUACUUUACUUUAUAAUUAAUACAAUAUCUUGCUUAGCGUCUUGGUCAUAUAGUCUUAUAUCUGAAGUCCCUUUUUUCUUCUAAAAGGAGUUUCGUGAAGAAGGAGACAGAAUUGAGGAGUACUUCAGGAAGUUUUCUAAUGGCGGCACCUUGCACAUGGGGUUAGCAACAAUAUUUCGAGGUUAUAUUUGCAUGAUCGCUAAAAAUUCUGUGAGGCUGGCUUCUAUUGUCAUGGGUAAGCCAGGCAUAAUUUCUGAAGAUGCACGUCUCACCACACUGAUGACUCCAAGAAAGGGAGAAA